This 468-nucleotide ribosomal RNA is filed under the name uncultured bacterium. RNAcentral describes it as "partial 16S ribosomal RNA". It matches the Rfam family "Bacterial small subunit ribosomal RNA", at positions 28 to 507 of the family's 1533-position model. The record is from RNAcentral.
GACGAACGCUGGCGGCGUGCUUAACACAUGCAAGUCGAACGGAAAGGCCCUGCUUUUGUGGGAUGCGCGAGUGGCGAACAGGUGAGUAACACGUGAGUAGCCUGCCCUUGACUUUGGGAUAACUUCAGGAAACUGGGGCUAAUACCGGAUAUGAGCUCCUUCUGCAUGGUGGGGGUGGGAAAGUUUCGGCGUUUGGGGAUGGACUCGCGGCUUAUCAGCGUGUUGGUGGGGUAGUGGCUUACCAAGGCUUUGACGGGUAGCCGGACUGAGAGGGUGACCGGCCACAUUGGGACUGGGAUAGCGCCCAGAGUGAUACGGGGGGCAGGGGCGGGGAAUAGUGCGCGAUGGGCGGAAGCCUGAAGGAGGAACGCCGGAUGGUGGAAGACGGCCUUCGGGUUGGAAACCUCGUUCGCCUGUGAAGCAGCGUGAGUGACGGUAACGGCUAAAGAAGGAACGGCUAACUACGUG